GGGGAAUUUUCCGCAAUGGGCGCAAGCCUGACGGAGCAACGCCGCGUGAGGGAGGAAGGCCUGUGGGUUGUAAACCUCUUUUCUCAAGGAAGAACACAAUGACGGUACUUGAGGAAUCAGCAUCGGCUAACUCCGUGCCAGCAGCCGCGGUAAGACGGAGGAUGCAAGCGUUAUCCGGAAUGAUUGGGCGUAAAGCGUCUGUAGGUGGCUUGUUAAGUCUGCUGUUAAAGCACAGGGCUUAACCCUGUAUAGGCGGUGGAAACUGAUAAGCUUGAGUAGGGUAGGGGUAGAGGGAAUUCCCGGUAUAGUGGUGAAAUGCGUUGAUAUCGGGAGGAACACCAAAAGCGAAAGCACUCUACUGGGCCAAUACUGACACUGAGGGACGAAAGCUACGGUAGCAAANNGGAUUAGAUACCCCAGUAGUC
Molecule: ribosomal RNA, 425 nt
Filed under: uncultured cyanobacterium
Lineage: Bacteria; Bacillati; Cyanobacteriota
Description: bacterial SSU rRNA
Rfam family: Bacterial small subunit ribosomal RNA
Source: RNAcentral